UAAAGUGCUGACAGUGCAGGUAGCUAGCGUCUGGUUGCUACUGCAGUGUGGGGGCUUGCAGC
RNAcentral lists this microRNA precursor (62 nucleotides) under Chrysemys picta bellii (western painted turtle). RNAcentral describes it as "Cpi-Mir-17-P1d_pre stem-loop". Lineage: Eukaryota; Metazoa; Chordata; Testudines; Emydidae. The record is from RNAcentral.